This 406-nucleotide ribosomal RNA is filed under the name uncultured bacterium. Its description in RNAcentral is "partial 16S ribosomal RNA". It matches the Rfam family "Bacterial small subunit ribosomal RNA", at positions 29 to 526 of the family's 1533-position model. The record is from RNAcentral.
AGUGAACGCUGGCGGCAGGCCUAACACAUGCAAGUCGAACGAGUGGCGGACUGGUGAGGAAUACAUCGUCAUCUACUCUGUCUUGCGGUCUAACGUAGGGAAACUUACGCUAAUACCGCAUACGAUUGAAUGAGCCGAUGUCGGAUUAGCUAGUUGGCGUGGUAAAGGCCCACCAAGGCGACGAUCCGUAGCUGGUCUGAGAGGAUGAUCGGCCACACUGGGACUGAGACACGGUCCAGACUCCUACGGGAGGCAGCAGUGGGGAAUAUUGGACAAUGGGCGCAAGCCUGAUCGAGCAAUACCGCGUGGGUGAAGAAGGUCUUCGGGUUGUAAAGCCCUGUUGUUGGGAAAGCGGUAACCAAAGAAUAAGCACCGGCUAACUUCGUGCCAGCAGCCGCGGUAAUAC